RNAcentral lists this ribosomal RNA (850 nucleotides) under uncultured bacterium. RNAcentral describes it as "bacterial SSU rRNA". It matches the Rfam family "Bacterial small subunit ribosomal RNA", at positions 624 to 1487 of the family's 1533-position model. The record is from RNAcentral.
CGGGAGAAACUGCCGAACUAGAGACUGUCAGAGGCAGGUGGAAUUCCCGGUGUAGUGGUGAAAUACGUAGAUAUCGGGAGGAACACCAGUGGCGAAAGCGGCCUGCUGGGGCAGUUCUGACGCUAAGGGACUAAAGCGUGGGGAGCGAACCGGAUUAGAUACCCGGGUAGUCCACGCCCUAAACGAUGAAUGCUAGGUCUUCGGGGUGUUAAUUCCCUGUGGGCCGAAGGUAACCCAUUAAGCAUUUCGCCUGGGGACUACGGCCGCAAGGCUAAAACUCAAAGGAAUUGACGGGUCCCCGCACAAGCAGCGGAGCGUGUGGUUUAAUUCGAUGGUAAGCGAAGAACCUUACCUAGGCUUGACAUGUUUGGUGGUACCGAACCGAAAGGGGAGGGACCCUUCGGGGAGCCUUACACAGGUGUUGCAUGGCCGUCGUCAGCUCGUGCCGUGAGGUGUUGGGUUAAGUCCCGCAACGAGCGCAACCCCUAUCGCCAGUUACACUCUCUGGCGAGACAGUCCUUAAACGGAAGGAAGGUGGGGACGACGUCAGGUCAUCAUGACCCUUACGCCUAGGGCUACACACACGCUACAAUGGCCGGUACAAACGGCAGCGAAACCGCGAGGUAGAGCCAAUCCGACAAAGCCGGUCUCAGUUGGGAUUGCAGGCUGAAACUCGCCUGCAUGAACGUGGAGUUGCUAGUAACCGCAGGUCAGCACACUGCGGUGAAUACGUUCCCGGGGAUUGUACACACUGCCCGUCAAGUCAUGGAAGUUGGAGACACUUGAAGUCGCUGGGCCAACCCGCAAGGGAGGCAGGUGCCGAGGGUGGAGCCAAUGACUGGACUAAGUC